This 279-nucleotide long non-coding RNA is filed under the name Physcomitrium patens. Its description in RNAcentral is "long non-coding RNA (PPAT_LNC005313)". The record is from RNAcentral. Lineage: Eukaryota; Viridiplantae; Streptophyta; Bryopsida; Funariales; Funariaceae.
AUUUAAUCUUAAUUUAAUCCUAAUUAAAAUCCUAUUGGACUUCAUUCAAAAUUUAGACCAAAAAUUAACUAAAUCUUAAAUCUAAAAGAAACUCAAAUAAAAUCUUAAACCCUAAAACAAACCCUAAUCAAACCCUAAAUUCUAAAUCAAAAUCUAACCAAUCCUAAACCAAAUCCUAACUAAAUCCUAAUCUUAAAUCAAGUCCUAACUAAAUCCUAAUUUUAAAUCAAAUUCUAACCAUCCCUAAAUCAAAUCCUAAAUCCUAAAUCAAAUCCUAAC